AUAGGGCCUCGGACAAGAGUCCGGGGGCUGCCCCUCGAGGCGGAGCUAGAGCGUGCACGCUGGGACCCGAAAGAUGGUGAACUAUGCCUGGGCAGGCUGAGGCCAAGUGAAAGCUUGGUGGAGGGCCGCAGCGAUUCUGACGUGCAAAUCGAUCGUCCGACCUGGGUAUAGGGGCGAAAGACUAAUCGAACCAUCUAAUAGCUGGUUCCCUCCGAAGUUUCCCUCAGGAUAGCUGGCGCUCACGCAAGCAGUUGUAUCCGGUAAAGCCAAUGAUUAGAGUGACCGGGGGAGGAAUUCCCUCGGACUAUUCUCAAACUUUAAAUGGGUACGAAGCCCCGGUCGCUUACGCUUGUGUCUAAGA
Molecule: ribosomal RNA, 361 nt
Filed under: Syllis amica
Lineage: Eukaryota; Metazoa; Annelida; Polychaeta; Phyllodocida; Syllidae
Description: eukaryotic LSU rRNA
Rfam family: Eukaryotic large subunit ribosomal RNA
Source: RNAcentral